Long non-coding RNA from Dendronephthya gigantea, 2532 nucleotides. RefSeq lists it as uncharacterized. The record is from RefSeq and is a predicted model, not a curated record. The transcript is spliced from 3 exons. NCBI's taxonomy places the organism in Eukaryota, Metazoa, Cnidaria, Anthozoa, Malacalcyonacea, Nephtheidae.
CUGAUGCACUCGAAAUCCAGCUGCAAUUUUCAAUCUCUCAGCUUAGAACAGAUGUCUAUGUUUAUGGAGUAAUCAAUGCGGGGUGCAGGGCGCAAGUCCUGUAAUGCUCAUAAAGCCAUCUGUUAUACUAAAUAGCCACAUUCACUUCACAAAACACAGAUGGAACAUGGUACAGCUGGUAGCCAGGCUGAAUUUUACGAGAGAAAUGGAAAGAGCUUACUGUAGGAAGACGAACGAAUGCCCUGCAUUGUCAGAUCGUCGGGGACCUAGCGGGUAAGAAUUUCUGGCAACCCGUGUCGAAACACAAGCUGUAAUCCCGAAGAUGCGUAUGGUACCAAAACAAUUUUGAACGGGAGGAUUAUACGAAUCCAAGCAGUUGGAAAGAAGAAGUAUGAAUCUAAGCGGUUUGUGUGUCGACGUUUGGAAUCGCUUCAACAACGACUUGGCAGAACAACAAGCAUCUUUGGUUCAUAUUUUUCAAGCAGAGAUGGGAUACUUCGUAUGCAGAUAUGAUUCGUGACAGAAAUACAACAAGCUUGUGAAAUUUUGUUCGCUGAUAGAAACCACUGUCGCGAGAAAGAUGAUUUCAGACGUGACAGGAUUCCGAGAAACGAUGCAAGAAUUGCGAAGAUGAAGUUGGCUACGAGACUGAAACUUCUUCUAUAAUCACAACAACUCAACAAGAAGAUCGAGAUUGUCUUUUGAAGAGGAGUUUAUUUACAAAAUUGCCACGCUCCUUGGAGGAUAUCGCAUUGGAAUUCAAUUCAACCGAGAGGCAAAACACGAUGAAGUAGCUGCACUUAAUAAACUACACAACUGAACAAAUUUCAGUUGGUAAUGAUUCCUUUUUCGCUCGCCUCCUUUUGGCAAGAUCAAAAGUAAUGCAUGCAAGCAGAGAUGGCGGGGAGACAACCGUAGGAGAGGAUCGUAACUGAUCGUUAAUCCGAUUUACGCGUCCUGAGCUCUCGUGGGCCAUAAUCUUGUUAGAUAUGAUGUCGGCUCUCAGGCGAAGUGGCAAGAUGCGGAUAUUGAAAGUAAACUGAUAUAGGAAACCGAAACUUAUUCUAAUAUUGGAACAAACUGGAAUAGAUAUCAACUCGAGACAUUUUCAAGGCGAAACAUGUCAAUCAAAUAACAAUGCUUGGAAAAACACUAAAAUGCUAUGCAUGCGUGCGUGGGAACACUUAUUGUGAAUGCUCUAUCAAGAUGAAUUAGUCUGAAAAUCGUAAACAUUGUAGUGACACAGUAUUGAGCAGCGUUCGGCCUGGAUGUAUUCAUUUUAUCCAUAUGGUUGAUGUGCAAGAACCUUUGCAGAAUUACAGCAAAUCUCGUAACCAUGCGGUGUGUGCCCUCCCCCUUGUUCCAUGUGAUCGUAAGCUUAGGCAACCGGGUGAGGACAGGGGGACCCCAUCUCCGUUUCGAACCCUCGCACUCACAAUGGCGGCAGUCUAACUCGCGUGUACAUUCUUUGAAGGGGGAGGUGUUACAAAAAGCAAGGAUAUUUGCACACCGAUUUUCUACACUCAAAUUGAAAAUUCAAAAUUAUUCUGAAUAAGCGCGCCCGAAUACCCGCCACCCUUGAUCAAUUUUAUGUGUCCCCUCCUAAUAUCAAGGCUAUAUUUACACCUAAUUAACAUUUGCCGCGCUUACCGUUGAUAAAAGUGAUCCUUCAUUCUUGCUUGAAUUUUUAUAUUUUUUUCUUCUCCCUAAUAAUACGGAAAAUUCGAAACUCAACACAUAUAGAGAUCAGUCGGCACGCGCGGGAGCUUGGGAGCAAGAACUUCGUCAGUCAGCGUCGUAACUACAUAGCGUUCUGUUCAAACUCACGUCAAGACAUCGAAGCUCAAAGCCUCAAACUGUGCUCCCACGGUUUCCAUAUUCAUCACUAAUGCUUACGUUAAUGGCUGUCAAUUGUUUAUAAACAGAGAGAAUCUUCUAGAUCAUAGGCAAAUAAUAAGAUUGGUCACUCUUUACUUUUGCAUUGUUAUUCACCAUAACGAAAUGUCGUCCAACUAGGUUCCCGUGGAGCUUUUCCUUCCCCCUUCAACUUAACCCUUCGUAAAACUACAUGAAAUCUAACAAUCGUAUCUUCUGCUCCACGCAUAACAAUUACUCGUAAUUCUUGAAAACUUAAUCUCGGUUUAAUUUUGUCUUGGAUAUUUCAGAAACUGCGUUUAAAAGAACAGAGUUCGAUAAAUAACCCAUUGUCAACGUGAGGUCUUUUAUAUAAUUAUUAAACAAAGAUGUCCUUUGUUAGUGUGUUUAAUCUUCACAGCAUGAGAGGGAAGACUUCGGAAAACAAGUUUCUAAAUUAUAGCAUCACUGAACGAAAUACAUUUUUUAACUGAAAACCUCUUUAUAUCUUUUUUUUGAGAGGUAAACACGUACUGCAACGAAGAAGUAAUGAUAGAGAGUGUUUUUGUGUUUGCAGAAGUGAAAAGAAACCAUUUCAAUGAUUUAUCUAUAAUAUUAGAGCUAUAUCAUAGAGCAGACUAGAUAUUCGUAUUGAUUUUUCUCGGCCAAGGUAUCGAG